Molecule: ribosomal RNA, 522 nt
Filed under: uncultured bacterium
Lineage: Bacteria
Description: bacterial SSU rRNA
Rfam family: Bacterial small subunit ribosomal RNA
Source: RNAcentral
AGAGUUUGAUCAUGGCUCAGGAUGAACGCUAGCUACAGGCUUAACACAUGCAAGUCGAGGGGCAGCAUGAUCGAAGCUUGCUUUGAUUGAUGGCGACCGGCGCACGGGUGAGUAACGCGUAUCCAACCUUCCCUAUAGUAGAGAAUAGCCCGGUGAAAAUCGGAUUAAUGCUCUAUGUUAUUCAAUGCGGACAUCUAAGUUGAAUCAAAGGUUUACCGCUAUAGGAUGGGGAUGCGUCUGAUUAGGUUGUUGGCGGGGUAACGGCCCACCAAGCCGACGAUCAGUAGGGGUUCUGAGAGGAAGGUCCCCCACAUUGGAACUGAGACACGGUCCAAACUCCUACGGGAGGCAGCAGUGAGGAAUAUUGGUCAAUGGACGGAAGUCUGAACCAGCCAAGUAGCCGUGCAGGAUGACGGCCCUAUGGGUUGUAAACUGCUUUUAUACAGGGAUAAAGUCGGGAACGUGUUCCCGUUUGUAGGUACUGUAUGAAUAAGGACCGGCUAAUUCCGUGCCAGCAGCUGC